RNAcentral lists this long non-coding RNA (1211 nucleotides) under Monodelphis domestica (gray short-tailed opossum). Its description in RNAcentral is "lncRNA (ENSMODG00000049264.1)". The record is from RNAcentral. Lineage: Eukaryota; Metazoa; Chordata; Mammalia; Didelphimorphia; Didelphidae.
UUCUAAAUUAAUUAAAUUAAGUUUUCCAAAAUUAAAAAAAAAAAGACCGGAGUUCAAAUCCAGCCUCAGCCACUAUGUGGCACGGGGCCUAGGGACCCACAAGUGCAUGGUGGGUAGAAGAGACCAGGUCUGUUUUGUAUGGGUGUGUGCAAGGGUGAGGGUGUGAGCGUCUGGGUAAGUCUGUGGCUGGGGCUUGGCCCCAGCUGUGCAUGUACCCAUGGGCUUGGUUUGGGUGUAUAGUGUUUCCAGGUAUGUGGGUCUGGGCACUGAGGCUGGGUUUGCCACAGGGUUGUGUGGGUAUCAGGAAGUAUAAACAUAACACGGGGAGGACUGUGUAAUGGCGGGCUUCCAGAGCAAAGAGCCCUUGAAAACAGGGUCUACGUUGGCAUCUGGCCAUCUUAAGUCCCUGUAAACAGGGGGAUGCAGGAUGCCGAGCAAAAUGGAAGCCGGGGCACCCUUUUGGACCUCUCUCAGCUCCUGACUCCCUCUGCUUUGCUGUCUUUUCUGGCCCCUGGCCCCUCUUCCUGCACAGGAACAGAUAGGAUUGCCAGAAAUAAUGCCCCAACAUGACUCUCCCUCUGCUUGUUCCUACAGUUGGGCUGGUUUCCAUCUGUAGCAAGCCACAAUUUGCUCCUUGUACAUUCUUCUCUUUCUUUUCUUGUUUCUCCAGCCCCCCCUCCCCCUUUUCUUUUUCUUCUUCUUCUGGAGGCUUCGACCCUGUGAAUUCCUGUGGGCAGCCUGCUGGCCCCUGAUUGCCAGAUUCCAAACCUUGGAGAGAGCAGAGGGAGGGGGAGCUCAAACCCAACAGCCCCCCCUCUCCCGACUUCUCCUCCCCCUUCCCAACAACCUCUUCAGCCUUUUUCCUACCACCUUAACCCUUCCUCUGCCAGGGGAACUUGGAGAGCCCUUAGGAUUGCGGAGAUGGACAAAACGGAAACCCCAGUGUGUGAGAGAAGGCAAAGAAGGGGCCCACCUAGGAUCCUGCCUCCUCCAUGAAGACCGUCCUGACUACCCAAGACCUCAUGCCAACUGAUCUCUUUUCUGAGUUUAGGAAGAUUAUUUUCUGAUUGUUUUAGUCUUGUUUUUCCAGUUAGACUGUAAACCAGGGGAAGGACUCUACAGCUCUUCUGCUCAGUUGUUUGUACAUAGUAGAUAUCUAGCAAAACUUUGCUGACUAAUAAAUUGAAUUGCAGAAAGGAAGGAAGAGGAAU